Long non-coding RNA from Megalobrama amblycephala (Wuchang bream), 603 nucleotides. RefSeq lists it as uncharacterized. The record is from RefSeq and is a predicted model, not a curated record. NCBI's taxonomy places the organism in Eukaryota, Metazoa, Chordata, Actinopteri, Cypriniformes, Xenocyprididae. The transcript is spliced from 3 exons.
CCAGAACACUAGCUUGACACUACAGCACUGAAAUCAGUGACAGAAACUCGAGCGCAGUUUACCAUCCGCUCCACUAGGCGGCGCGAGCGUGUUUCACUGUCAGCGCGACACCUUUGGGUCCUUGACAACAACGACGCUUGAUGACAGUCGCUACGACAAGUGCAGAUGACAGCUAUUAUCACACAACUGCACAUAUUCCAGCAAAUAAACCGACUCACAAUGCGAUAAAAUGCGGGAAUCGAGUGACAUUAACUCCUCGAAUAAGGGAUGUUUGGACACCCAGUCAUCAGAAGCAGAGCUGUAGGAAGUGUGGACAGACAUUGACUGUAAUGAUGGACUUCUGCUGAUGGACAGACAGAAAAGUAUAACCCCUGCUGGACAUCGUACCGGGGCUCGGGGGGGGACCCGACUCAUCCCCGCCCCUUCACGCUCACACCAUUCACUCAUAUCGCUGAGGUCUGGCUGGGAUUGAACCAGCAACCUCUGAACCCGUGAGGCAGCACUCUUAACCUGUGAGCCACAGAUCUCAUGUCUGAACAUGUGCAGGAACUUAUAUUUCACUGUUUCCUGACCUGUGAUUUACAAUAAACUAGUUCAAGCUUU